UUCCUACGGGGCGCAGCAGUGGGGAAUAUUGCACAAUGGGGGAAACCCUGAUGCAGCGACGCCGCGUGAGUGAAGAAGUAAUUCGUUACGUAAAGCUCUAUCAGCAGGGAAGAAAUACUGACCUUACGGUCAGCAGACGGUACCUGAGUAAGAAGCCCCGGCUAACUACGUGCCAGCAGCCGCGGUAAUACGUAGGGGGCAAGCGUUAUCCGGAUUUACUGGGUGUAAAGGGAGCGUAGACGGUGCAGCAAGUCUGAUGUGAAAGGCCGGGGCCCAACCCCGGGACUGCAUGGGAAACUGU
RNAcentral lists this ribosomal RNA (301 nucleotides) under uncultured bacterium. Its description in RNAcentral is "bacterial SSU rRNA". It matches the Rfam family "Bacterial small subunit ribosomal RNA", at positions 336 to 636 of the family's 1533-position model. The record is from RNAcentral.